AGAGUUUGAUCAUGGCUCAGGACGAACGCUGGCGGCGUGCUUAAUACAUGCAAGUCGAGCGAGGUUACUGUUUUGGAUCCCUUCGGGGUGAAGAAGCUUUAACCUAGCGGCGGACGGGUGAGUAACGCGUGGGUAACCUACCCCAAAGUCCGGGAUAACAGCGGGAAACCGCUGCUAAUACCGGAUGCCUUUACCUUGGGGCAUCUUGAGGUAAAGAAAGGUAACGCUUUGGGAUGGGCCCGCGUCCCAUUAGCUUGUUGGUGAGGUAACGGCUCACCAAGGCGACGAUGGGUAGCCGACCUGAGAGGGUGAUCGGCCACACUGGGACUGAGACACGGCCCAGACUCCUACGGGAGGCAGCAGUGGGGAAUAUUGCGCAAUGGGGGGAACCCUGACGCAGCAACGCCGCGUGAGCGAAGAAGGCCUUCGGGUCGUAAAGCUCUGUCAUAGGGGAAGAGGAGAAGACGGUACCCUAUGAGGAAGCCCCGGCUAACUACGUGCCAGCAGCCGCGGUAAU
This 517-nucleotide ribosomal RNA is filed under the name uncultured bacterium. RNAcentral describes it as "bacterial SSU rRNA". It matches the Rfam family "Bacterial small subunit ribosomal RNA", at positions 8 to 524 of the family's 1533-position model. The record is from RNAcentral.